UACGUAGGGUGCAAGCGUUAAUCGGAAUUACUGGGCGUAAAGCGUGCGCAGGCGGUUUUGUAAGUUUGUCGUGAAAUCCCCGGGCUUAACCUGGGAAUUGCGAUGAAGACUGCAGGGCUAGAAUCUGGCAGAGGGGGGUAGAAUUCCACGUGUAGCAGUGAAAUGCGUAGAGAUGUGGAGGAACACCGAUGGCGAAGGCAGCCCCCUGGGUCAAGAUUGACGCUCAUGCACGAAAGCGUGGGGAGCAAACAGG
Molecule: ribosomal RNA, 253 nt
Filed under: uncultured bacterium
Lineage: Bacteria
Description: partial 16S ribosomal RNA
Rfam family: Bacterial small subunit ribosomal RNA
Source: RNAcentral